UACGGAGGAUGCAAGCGUUAUCCGGAAUGAUUGGGCGUAAAGCGUCCGCAGGUGGCUAUGUAAGUCUGCUGUUAAAGAGCAAAGCUUAACUUUGUAAAAGCAGUGGAAACUACAUAGCUAGAGUGCGUUCGGGGCAGAGGGAAUUCCUGGUGUAGAGGUGAAAUUCGUAGAUAUUCGCAAGAACACCAGUGGCGAAGGCGCUCUACUGGGCCACAACUGACGCUGAGGGACGAAAGCUAGGGGAGCGAAAGGG
This 253-nucleotide ribosomal RNA is filed under the name uncultured bacterium. RNAcentral describes it as "partial 16S ribosomal RNA". It matches the Rfam family "Bacterial small subunit ribosomal RNA", at positions 524 to 776 of the family's 1533-position model. The record is from RNAcentral.